This 497-nucleotide ribosomal RNA is filed under the name uncultured bacterium. RNAcentral describes it as "partial 16S ribosomal RNA". It matches the Rfam family "Bacterial small subunit ribosomal RNA", at positions 28 to 507 of the family's 1533-position model. The record is from RNAcentral.
GAUGAACGCUGGCGGCGUGCCUAAUACAUGCAAGUCGAGCGAACAGACGAGGAGCUUGCUCCUCUGACGUUAGCGGCGGACGGGUGAGUAACACGUGGAUAACCUACCUAUAAGACUGGGAUAACUUCGGGAAACCGGAGCUAAUACCGGAUAAUAUAUUGAACCGCAUGGUUCAAUAGUGAAAGACGGUUUUGCUGUCACUUAUAGAUGGAUCCGCGCCGCAUUAGCUAUUUGGUAAGGUAACGGCUUACCAAGGCAACGAUGCGUAGCCGACCUGAGAGGGUGAUCGGCCACACUGGAACUGAGACACGGUCCAGACUCCUACGGGAGGCAGCAGUAGGGAAUCUUCCGCAAUGGGCGAAAGCCUGACGGAGCAACGCCGCGUGAGUGAUGAAGGUCUUCGGAUCGUAAAACUCUGUUAUUAGGGAAGAAAAAAUGUGUAAGUAACUAUGCACGUCUUGACGGUACCUAAUCAGAAAGCCACGGCUAACUACGUG